This 4034-nucleotide long non-coding RNA is filed under the name Equus caballus (horse). RNAcentral's name for it is "lncRNA (ENSECAG00000060211.1)". Lineage: Eukaryota; Metazoa; Chordata; Mammalia; Perissodactyla; Equidae. The record is from RNAcentral.
CAUGGAUUUCUGACCUCACUGCAGACUCCGAUAUCCAUGCUUCCUCUCUGGGUUCCUUUUUGCCUUUGCUAAAGCAGGUUGUUUCUCGCUCUCUCAGCCAGGGGCUGUGGGUGGUGAAUCCCUCAUGCUCUGUGGGUAUGUGCCAUCUUUACUUGGCCUCUUUCAGAGGAUUCCUUAUUUCCCCACCAGGGGCUGCAGGUGCCCAGCGCCAGGUCCUUGGGCACAAAGGUCCACCCACCACCAGACCCGCUCCCCUCCGGAGGCGGCCAAUGUUAUCGUUCUACUGUACAAACAGACACACACAUUAUUCCUUUGUCUCCUUUUUUCUUUUUUUAAUGAAUCCAGUAGCAAACUCUCCACAUGGCCUCUUGCUUUUUCACUUAAUGAGAAUCUGGGUGCUCACUCCCAGGAGACACAGAGUGCCCCUCAGGCCUUUUGAGGAGUGCAUACAAUGCCACCAACCUCAUUGAUUAAACAUCUACUUAUCUAUCUGACUGAUGAAAAGCUAGACUUCUCCCAACCCCUCGCUAUUCUGAACGACGCACUUCUGAACACCCUUGUUUAUGCUGAUCCCUGCACACGUAACCUUAUCUAUAGGUUUGGGUCGGGGGUGUGCACCUGUACUCUGGAAGGACAGCGUCAAGCUGCCUUUCACAAGACUGUGCGAGCUGUACUUCAAACAGCCAUGUCUGAGCCUAUGCCUGCCAUUCCCAAUAGUGCAUUAACAAGUUUUAGAUCUGUGAAAAUCGGACAUGUGAGAAACGAGAUCCCUAUAGGCUCUUCACUCGUACUUCUCUUGUUAUCAACAGAUCGAACAUCCUCUUUUUUUUAAUGCUGAAAGAGCCACACAUGUAUCUUGCUGUGAAAUGCCUAUUACUACCCUUUUUGUGCGUUUCUCUUUUCAGCAAUUAGUCAUUUUCUUCUUGGCCUAUGAGCUCUUUAUAUAUGAAGGAAAUGGGCCCUCUGUCAGUACUAAGAGCUGCAAUAGCCUUUCCAGUUUAUUAUUUAUCUUCUGAUUUUGCUCGUGGCACUUGUCUUUUGCCAUGCAGAAUUGCAGAUUCUAUAAGGGGAAAUCAUCACUCUUUCCUUUUGUGCCUCUGGUUGUGUAUGAACCUCUGUGGGGAAAUGUUCUCCCACGAUUCUUCUCAUAACACGAUGGUUUCAAUGGUUUAGAUUUAAAUUCCUGCUCCUCUGUGUAACCCACACCCGCUCGUUUACCCCAUUCACUCCUGAACGUCAGCUUGACUGUGUCUUCAAACCCAGACAGGUGGCGUCCAACAGAACUUGCGGGUGCAAUGGAAACGGUCCCCAUCUGUGCAUCUAACACACUGGCCACUGGCCUCAAGACCCCCAGGUGCUUAACGUAGGGUGAGCUGACUAGAGAACUGAGUUUUUACUUUUAAUUAAUUACUCUUUGAAUUUAAAUAGCUGUGAAUGGAUGGCUGCCUGGAAGAGGCCACCACCUUCACCUGCCCUCAAGCCGAGCUUGUCCUCUCUGCGACUUCUCAUCCCUGUGUUAAGUGGGUUUGCCUUCCUGAUCCUGCCGACCACUCAGGCCACACCAUCAGCUAAGAACUCUUUCCUCUGGAGCACUCUCAACACCUUCUUAAAUGGUCUCAAAUCUCAAGAGGAGAGAUCUUAAAGUAAAUCUCCUCAACACGCAUGCGUGCGUGCAUGACGGCAGCCAUCCCUGCGAAGUGAUGUAUGCUUUUCAGCUCCAAACUCCGCCUGGGCGCAGUGCGACGGCUCACUCAGGCUGUCACCCACUCCCUGUCCACCAGACAUGCCCACUCCCUGGACUGUAAGAUGUCGUGAGGCUGCUGCCUGUGUCUACCAGGCUAUUCUCUGGGACCUGCUUGUCCUUUGGGUUCCAGCUUCUUUCCACGAACUUCUCCUCAGUGACGACUCAAUCUGAGUAAGGUCUCUGUGACCCCCUUAUUCUAACUCAUCCUGUUUCCUUCUCAGCAGGUGCCAUGGGCCAGACUGUGCCCCCGGACCUACAGGCUGAGGCCUAAGCCCAGGUGGCUGUAUCUGGAGAUGGGCCUGGGAGGUGGCGAUGAAGGUUCCAUGAGGUCACAGGGUGGCCAUGACCUCACAGGGCUGGUGUCCCACAGGGAGAGGAGGAGACCAGAGCUCUCUGCAGGUGCACAUGAGGACGCAGGGAGAGGCAGUGCCCGUAAGCCAGAGAGAGUGGCCCCACCAGGAACCGAAUCCUCAGCGCCUGGAUCUCGGGCCUCCAGCCUCCAGAGAUGCAUGUCUGUUGUCGAAGCCGCCCAGUCCAUGCAGUUCCGUUCUGGCAGCCCGAGGUGACCAAGACAUUUGCCCUCCCACCAUAUGCUGGGCGCUGUGUGACUUUAUUCUUCCGUAUCCUGCAGUCACUACUCACGUUUCAUCGCGUCCCGAAGGAGACUGAGCUAAUGGUGGCAAGGAAGUUCCAUCCUCAGCCGCAGCCGUCACCCAGCAGCUUUCUGAAUGACCAGUGACUGGCUGGUGCUCCCAGCGCAGCUUCUGCUGCACGCAGUGAAUCAGACACCCACAGACCCGGUGACUCCACAACUCUGGUGCAACUGCUCAAAACCUGUCAGGACCUGAGUACCGCGGGAAGACAAGACAGCAUGGGGGACGAGACCGCAGGAAGCUCUAGAACCCCGUCUGGGCUCUGAUCUCAGCUCGUCCCGCUACACAGCCCUGCGAUCCGAGCCUCAGGCUCCUCCUGUGAUGUCAGAGCCCCGCCUUAGAGGGCUGUUUGGAGACUGGAGAUCACAUCCUGCUCUCAGCAGCCCUGCCCACGGCAACCACUCAGCGGGUCUUGGUAACGAUGGGGGCUGCAUCCAAGUGGAAGAGAAUUCUGGGAGAUUCUCAUGGCUACACUGCUGGAAGUGGGUUUAGACGGUCAUCCCCAACAUGUGCCUCACUGUCUACUUGGUUCAGCCCCUUCCUCAGACCCAGGGGGGACUCAGGUGCAGGUGCCUGAACUCACUUGCUGCCUCCUCUGUGCCAGCCACUGUGCCAGCACUGGGACAGUGUGAUGGUCAUGACGACACAGCCCUGUCUUCUAAAAGGAGAGAGCACGAGCACACAGGCGUUUCGCCUACGGCACAUGCAGGGCCACGAGGAAACAAUGGAGGCGACGUGACAGAAGCUGACAGGAGGGGAGCCCGCGCACACAGGGAAACUCACUCUCCUAAAGGUGUGGGAGCGUCACAGACCCUCAGAGAGUAAGCGCGAUUCUGACUGAAGCACUGGUGUGAGCUGCGCGCUCGCAGGCGGACACGAGUGGAGGAAAAGGGUGAAAGUACGGGUGGGGACACAAGCUCUCGCCUUCCAGGUGCCCUUCCACCCCAUCUGUAUCCACACUGCCCGUCGUUGACAGAGACGCACUGAUCUGCCUCACUUAAGGAGCUCAGUGUGCUCUGACGUGGACGCCCCACGCUUUAUCACUCUACGUCCAAUGACGGUCACAGCAGCUUCCAAGCCAACCUUGACAAAGCCAAUUCCGGGUCUCCAGCCCGGCGUCUCAAAAAGAACAAUAACCACAACCAGCCUCCAGAAGCCUCAGGAAUGCAGCACUGUUCACUCAACCAACUCCAGCUGUCAGGCAGUCAGAUUCCUAACUGUUAGCGCCUCCAGAAGGAAGCAGGCGUCAGCUACGUCCUCUGCCUCCUGGACAGCAAAAGAAACGUGGCUCAUGCUCCCAACCACACGGCCUGCAGCGGUCCAGAGACGGCCUGCAACCCUGUGAGUCCUGAGGCAGCACCCACUCACCAUCUGCUCUGCCCCAGGCCCGCGUCUGUGCACCAGCUUCUCCUCUGUCCCUUGUCGAUCCAGAUGCACAGCUCAGCCCCUCCUUCUUCUACAAAUCGUCCACUCACCCCAAGCACCUCAAGAGUUGAGUAAUUAAAAAAAUUUUUUUUGUAAAGACUUUAUUUUUUUAGAGCAGUUUUAGAUUCACUGCAAAAUUGAGGGGAAGGUACAGAGACUUCCCAUAUGCCCCCUCCAUUCUUGAACAGCCUCCUCCAUUAUCAGCAACCCCC